This 595-nucleotide ribosomal RNA is filed under the name uncultured fungus. RNAcentral describes it as "eukaryotic LSU rRNA". The stretch from base 233 to 386 matches the Rfam family "5.8S ribosomal RNA". Lineage: Eukaryota; Fungi. The record is from RNAcentral.
CAGGUUGACCUCGAAUCAGGUUCAUGGUCAUUUAGAGGAAGUAAAAGUCGUAACAAGGUUUCCGUUGGUGAACCAGCGGAGGGAUCAUUAUCGAGCUAUUCAACUCCCAAACCCUAUGUGAACUUACCACUUGUUGCUUCGGCGCGCGCUUCGGCGCCGCCGAGGACACUUAAACUCUUUGUUUUUAUAAGCAUUUCUGAGUGGCCGAAAGGCAAAAAUACAAAUGAAUCAAAACUUUCAACAACGGAUCUCUUGGUUCUGGCAUCGAUGAAGAACGCAGCGAAAUGCGAUAAGUAAUGUGAAUUGCAGAAUUCAGUGAAUCAUCGAAUCUUUGAACGCACAUUGCGCCCGCCAGCAUUCUGGCGGGCAUGCCUGUUCGAGCGUCAUUUCAACCCUCGAGCCCGACUCUUUUAAGGACGGCUCGGCGUUGGGGGACGGCAGACUCCCCCCGGCAUCUCGCCGGGGACGCCGCCCCCGAAAUCUAGUGGCGGCCCUCCGAGGCGACCUCUGCGUAGUAACUUGUUCUCGCACCGGAAAGCUCAGAGCGGCCACGCCGUAAAACCCCAACUUUUUUCAGGUUGACCUCGAAUCAGGU